Molecule: long non-coding RNA, 439 nt
Organism: Gymnogyps californianus (California condor)
Lineage: Eukaryota; Metazoa; Chordata; Aves; Accipitriformes; Cathartidae
Exons: 4
Source: RefSeq, a predicted model, not a curated record
UCACGAACAAGCUCCAGCGCCUCCUGGAGAGAUGGGAAGCCCUCCAAGACCCAACAGCUUUCAGGGGGAAGACGGUGCAGGCAGACGAGACAGGCGAGUCGCUGAUGCAGGAGAUGGUGGCUGUGAGGCUGGAGGAGCGGCUGGCAUCAAGGAGGCAUAAGAUCACUUCUUGGCUGCGGAGACUCCUUCUGUUCCUCGCCUUCCUGCAGAUCGCCAUCCUCAUCCUGGUCCUGCUGAAGAGGGACGUCCUUAACUGGGUCCUGCCACCAAAGCUGGCGGCCGCCUUUGGGAGCCGCCCAGCGAGGUCCCGGUUCUUCUGAAAUAAAACUAGAAAGAGAAUAAAGAAAUCGGGGAUUGCGGGACAAGCGUGUCACCUUGUCAAUGUCACAUAAGAAAAGCCACCAUGUAAAGAUGGCUUUGAAGCCAUGCGCAAUGGAAC